This 455-nucleotide ribosomal RNA is filed under the name uncultured bacterium. Its description in RNAcentral is "bacterial SSU rRNA". It matches the Rfam family "Bacterial small subunit ribosomal RNA", at positions 340 to 786 of the family's 1533-position model. The record is from RNAcentral.
UACGGAAGGCAGCAGUGGGGAAUAUUGCACAAUGGGCGAAAGCCUGAUGCAGCUAUGCCGCGUGUAUGAAGAAGGCCUUAGGGUUGUAAAGUACUUUCAUCGGGGAGGAAAAAACAAAACUAAUAAUUUUAUUUCUUGACGUUACCCGAAAAAGAAGCACCGGCUAACUCCGUGCCAGCAGCCGCGGUAAUACGGAGGGUGCUAGCGUUAAUCAGAAUUACUGGGCGUAAAGAGCACGUAGGUGGUUUUUUUAAGUCAGAUGUGAAAUCCCUGGGCUUAACCUGGAACUGCAUUUUGAAACUGAAAUACUAGAGUAUCGUAGAGGGAGGUAGAAUUCUAGGUGUAGCGGUUGAAAUGCGUAGAUAUCUGGAGGAAUACCUGUGGCGAAAGCGGCCUCCUAAACGAAUACUGACACUGAGGUGCGAAAGCUGGGGAGCAAACAGGGAUUAGAUACC